CCUACGGGUGGCAGCAGUGGGGAAUAUUGGACAAUGGGGGGAACCCUGAUCCAGCCAUGCCGCGUGUGUGAAGAAGGCCCUCGGGUUGUAAAGCACUUUCAGUGAGGAAGAACGCCUGGUGGUUAAUACCCAUCAGGAAAGACAUCACUCACAGAAGAAGCACCGGCUAACUCCGUGCCAGCAGCCGCGGUAAUACGGAGGGUGCGAGCGUUAAUCGGAAUUACUGGGCGUAAAGCGCGCGUAGGUGGCUUGAUAAGCCGGUUGUGAAAGCCCCGGGCUCAACCUGGGAACGGCAUCCGGAACUGUCAAGCUAGAGUGCAGGAGAGGAAGGUAGAAUUCCCGGUGUAGCGGUGAAAUGCGUAGAGAUCGGGAGGAAUACCAGUGGCGAGGGCGGCCUUCUGGACUGACACUGACACUGAGGUGCGAAAGCGUGGGUAGCAAACAGGAUUAGAUACCCUAGUAGUC
RNAcentral lists this ribosomal RNA (465 nucleotides) under Vreelandella stevensii. RNAcentral's name for it is "partial 16S ribosomal RNA". It matches the Rfam family "Bacterial small subunit ribosomal RNA", at positions 338 to 795 of the family's 1533-position model. Lineage: Bacteria; Pseudomonadati; Pseudomonadota; Gammaproteobacteria; Oceanospirillales; Halomonadaceae. The record is from RNAcentral.